This 88-nucleotide transfer RNA is filed under the name Gammaproteobacteria bacterium. Its description in RNAcentral is "tRNA-Leu". It matches the Rfam family "tRNA". Rfam says of the family: Transfer RNA (tRNA) molecules are approximately 80 nucleotides in length. Their secondary structure includes four short double-helical elements and three loops (D, anti-codon, and T loops). RNAcentral also lists the same sequence under 1 other name. Lineage: Bacteria; Pseudomonadati; Pseudomonadota; Gammaproteobacteria. The record is from RNAcentral.
GCAGGGGUUGCCGAGCUUGGCCAAAGGCGAUAGAUUCAGGGUCUAUUCGUGCAGGCGUUCGUGGGUUCAAAUCCCAUCCCCUGCACCA